This 275-nucleotide ribosomal RNA is filed under the name uncultured bacterium. RNAcentral's name for it is "partial 16S ribosomal RNA". It matches the Rfam family "Bacterial small subunit ribosomal RNA", at positions 338 to 629 of the family's 1533-position model. The record is from RNAcentral.
CCUACGGGGGGCUGCAGUUGGGAAUCUUGCACAAUGGGGGAAACCCUGAUGCAGCGACGCCGCGUGGAGGAUGAAGGGUCUAGGCCUGUAAACUCCUUUUGCCAGGAAAGACUUAGGACGGUACCUGGAGAAUAAGCACCGGCUAACUACGUGCCAGCAGCCGCGGUAAGACGUAGGGUGCAAGCGUUGUCCGGAUUUACUGGGCGUAAAGAGCGCGUAGGCGGUCUGUUAAGUGUAGAGUGAAAGCUCCGGGCUCAACUCGGAAAUUGCUCUGC